Molecule: ribosomal RNA, 269 nt
Filed under: uncultured bacterium
Lineage: Bacteria
Description: partial 16S ribosomal RNA
Rfam family: Bacterial small subunit ribosomal RNA
Source: RNAcentral
GACGAACCGUGCGAACGUUAUUCGGAAUCACUGGGCUUAAAGCGCGUGUAGGCGGAUGGGAACGUCGGUAGUUGAAAGCCCCCGGCUCAACCGGGGAAGUGGUGCCGAAACGACCCGUCUGGAGGGACGUAGGGGGACCUGGAACUUCCGGUGGAGCGGUGAAAUGCGUUGAGAUCGGAAGGAACGCCCGUGGCGAAAGCGAGGUCCUGGACGUCUACUGACGCUGAGACGCGAAAAGCUAGGGGAGCAAACGGGGAUUAAGAAACCCC